This is a long non-coding RNA of Apteryx rowi (Okarito brown kiwi), 1978 nucleotides long. Lineage: Eukaryota; Metazoa; Chordata; Aves; Apterygiformes; Apterygidae. The record is from Ensembl.
UUGGCCCCAUGUGGGGAUUAAUUAUCAUGUUUUAUAGUCACAUAUUUAUUUGUUUGUUUUUACAAUAGAUUACAACUGGAGGAAUUCUAAAGAAUCCAGGUCUCCUUGUAAUGGUGACUAACUGCACUGUGCUCUCUGAACAGAGGAAAUCACUGAGUUGUUGCAGAAUAGCUGGGAUGGACAGCAAGGGUCAUUACUGUGGAGGCCUUGACCUUGAAGAAUCACUGAAGGGUGGAAGCAGCACAGGAAGGGCCUUUGUCUUGUUUCCAGGCCUUGCAUGGAUGGAGGGAUGGAAGGAUAAGAAGAAGCCUUUGGCAGAGAAUGGUGAAAGGUGACUAAUAACAUGAAACUGGGAGGAAACCUUCUAUAGCUAUGCAAUCUCCAGGUGGUUUUCUUCAUCUGUAAGAGGACACCUUGCAUUAGUUGUCCCACUGACAGUUGCUGCUUGUGCUGUCUUCUGAAUAGAAGCGUUAAAAAUCAUUUCUCUGCUUGACUUAAAGCUUAAUUUAACAUUGUAGCAAUGAGACUGCAACAGCACUUCAUUUCUUUCUCCUCUCUCUACAGAAUUUGUUUUAAAUUUACUUUGUCUUUACCCUUUCUUGUUGGUUCUUUUUCUGUCUUGUCUGGUAGUUUAGCCAACAUAAAGAAUUUUUUUUCAUUGUCAUGCGCUUGUUAGUCCCCAUAUCUCCUUUGUUCCAUAGUUUUCUGUGUCCCUCCUGCCAUACUUCCAAAGUUGUCAUGGACAAGCUCCUCUGAAUUUUGCUGUGGCAGUUUAGGAUGUUGCUCCUGUCUCAGCUAGUCCUUUGCCACAGGUUGCCACCAUUGUAGCAGAGCCAGCAGAUAGGAGUUUGUUCCUGCAYACGAUUGCACCAGGUUAUAAUUAGAUGUCUUAGCUCAAACCUAAGCCUAACAGUCCAGUUAUGUUAUUGGGCUUUGUGCUGGAGUGGCUGAUGUGCAGGCUGAUGUACAGUACUCCUGCUGACUCUGCUACAGGGCGGUAGCCUCUGGAACAGCAGCUUGCUGGAGAUGGUGGUUUAAACUGCUGGAGCAAGACUUGAUGGAGUUUUUCAAUGAAACCCCUCAGAUUCCUGAUUAGCGUGGCUGGAUUUUCCAGUGAACUGCAAUGAAUAGCUCCACCCACUGACCCAGGCUGGAUUUUGAUCUUCCAUUUUACAAGAAAACAACAAAUUUUAUGUUGUUGUAAACAUAUUCUCAGGAACUGAAUCUCACUAUAGUCCGUAAAAGAGUUCUGAAAAUAUGGGCUUGCUCCUCAACAAUUCUGCAGUCGCCAGUCUCUGAGAUGUUGUAUUCUGUGCUGAAAUAAGAUUCUAGGCCUGUAAAAGAGUUAGACUGCAUGGAGAUUAACAAAUCUGUUGCUAGUAUCUCUGGCUACUGCAGCAUGACUCACCCAUCAGUGCUUGUCAGUGUCUGGUGUGACCUCAUUGAAAGCUUCAGCAUCUCUUAUGUGAAGGUAGGUAGGUUGUAAUCCAGUGUGGGAAUCCUAAGGAGAUGGAAAGGGAAGUUCUGAGACUGUGAUAAUGCAUACAUCAUAAACGUUUYCCCCUAGAAACUGGAUGUGCCCGCACCAGAGAUUACCAUAAAAAUUCUCAUAGAUUCAUGAGGAUCUCUUAAUGCUAAGUCUGCCUUCCCCAUGCCUCUAUUCAAAAGCACCUGUAACUAUUCAAGACAGCAGUAGAAAUCARUGCUGAUGGGAAAACUGAGUAGGUGGAACAGGUUAGGGAGGAGAUACUCCUUUAUUUGCAAGGGCAAGAAACAGCUGAUGGUUCCUUUUUAUUUAGCACAGCUUUUAAGGCUUGGAAGAAGAUACUCUGUGUGUGUGUUUUGUUUUGUUUUUUCUUUUUUUCUUUUUCCAGUGCCUGUAGAUAGGGUUUCUGGCAUGCUGGUUGAGGGAAACAGGUGAGAAAAAGGAAGGAGGGACUGUAAUAAAGAGAGAGGGUGAGUGAAUUAGCUUGCGGUA